CUACGGCCACGACAGUUUACAGAUACGCGAUUUUGUGUCUUUUUUAGAGUACAACUCUAAAAUGUAUGACUGUGACAGUUUACAGACACGGCGCUUGUUUUCACAAUAGCUCUGUUACACACACGACAUGCGAAUUACGACCACGAAGUGUGGUGUGCGAAACGACUGUCAAAAAUACGUCAUCAAGGUCACAGGCAUUACUAUCCGAGGGAAGAUGAAUCGAUUCAACGAAGUGCGCAUGCGCCCCACCAAAGUUUUAAACCACUGGCGCCGAAAUGGCGGAUCAGCAACCAAGUGCUCACACCUCGUCUCAGGAAACUUGUGUUGGGGAGGAUUCAGUGUCUGUUGAGGCACAUGUGAAUGUGUUAUAAAGUGAGUAUCAGAAACACAUCCAGACCCCUCGACGGUCAAAGACCACACGGCAGGAACAUGCUCCUGGAGACGCUGAGAAAGCACGGAAGGAAUGUCUGUGGAGGAUGUACUCAAAAAAUACACAUACUUAAGGACACCUGCUGGAGGGCACCCGGCUACACCUUUCCUACCAUACACCUGAUGGAUACUGACUGUAAAAUGUCAGUCAUAGUUCGAGGGCUCAGUGUGGUGACAGAAGAUGGAACAGAUGUGUGCCAGUGCACCAGUCUUGAUGAAGCUUCAUAACAGCCUUCUGUGUGUAUUCUGGUUUCAACAUUGCAUAUCCACCACACCUGAGAAAGACACUGACUUUCCUUCAGAGGCACAUUCUCAACAUUAGAAGAUGGAGACAAGCACUGUAUGGUUGACUGGAAGUCUGUCAGUCCAGAUGUGAGGAGGACACACAGAGUGGAGCUGGAGCUCAGCAGAUGUGUGAUGCUGUAGAUACUGUGGUCUUGGAAAGAAGGGCAUCUUCACAGCUUUCUAUUCAGACAAAGAGUUUGCUGGAUUCUGUUCUAUGGACUGCUACUACAGAAUGAAUUAAUUAAUGAGUGGUUUAUCUAUCUAUCUAUCUAUCUAUCAAUCUAUCUAUCUUUUUACUUGAAUUGGUGACUGAAACUGAAAGCUAAAUAAAUAUUUUAGUGGAUAAA
Carassius carassius (crucian carp) is the source of this 1061-nucleotide long non-coding RNA. RefSeq lists it as uncharacterized. NCBI's taxonomy places the organism in Eukaryota, Metazoa, Chordata, Actinopteri, Cypriniformes, Cyprinidae. The transcript is spliced from 4 exons. The record is from RefSeq and is a predicted model, not a curated record.